Long non-coding RNA from Sinocyclocheilus grahami, 1840 nucleotides. RefSeq lists it as uncharacterized. The record is from RefSeq and is a predicted model, not a curated record. The transcript is spliced from 3 exons. NCBI's taxonomy places the organism in Eukaryota, Metazoa, Chordata, Actinopteri, Cypriniformes, Cyprinidae.
CUGGUUAACCUGAUUACCAUCAGAUCCACUUAAGCAGGGGAGAGAUGUUGCUGUUCUUGUUUGACUGAAGAUGAUUUCAGGACGGCUGUUGUUGAUGUUUGUAGCCGCUGCAAUGGCACAAAAUGAUUUGUCUGUAGACUGCGGCGGCGAUGAUUCGGUCACUGUCCGCUGGAGACCCGGACUGAACUAGUCUCAGAAACUGGAUCCGUUCAGAGCUUUGCUGGGAAACUGUCUGCCGAGCUUCACGGUGUCUGACGACACGCUGCUCUUCUACGUGUUACUGCGAGACUGUGGCUUUCUCAAACAGGUGACGGCGGACAGAGUCACGUACUCCAACAUGCUGAUCUAUGACCGGCGGCCGGAGCUGCCUUUCAUUUCCCAAUCGGUCCAGUGCAUCUAUGACCCGUAGGUGAUGAAAAAGUGGCGCACGGGACACCACCGGGACCCCACCAUUAGACUUCUUUUGACUCGAGAGUCGAGACACUAUUUCGGGAGCGAAAGAUGCGAGAUGCGUGCGCAAAUGUAGCGCAGUGGAGUACGUGGAAAACGCGUGAAAACUCUUAACCUGGCUUAAUGUUUUAAAAGACAACCAGGGAUAAUCAUUUUUCUCACAUUUCAUUUGUCAUAAACACUGUAGCUGUCUGGUAGUACUUUCGUUUAGUGUUUUUCUCUGUAAACAUUUACAAUGUCGGUAAGUGUAUGAUGCCUAAUGUUUUCAAAGUGGUUCACAUUUUAGUUCUCAAUUCAUGUAUAAUUUCAUUUCAUUCAUCAAAAUACUAAUGAUUCUAGCAAAUAUAAGUGAAUUGCUAAAAAAAAAAAAAUUGAUCAUUCAUUUAUGGUGGGGCCAAUGAUGGUGUUGGCAGGGCAAGUAAAAAUCUAAACUAUUGGGAUGGCAGAAUAAAAAUCAUUUUAGUUGAUGUUUGAUAUUAAACAGAUUUGUCCCUAGUCUAAUUUUCACUAUCCAAAAAAAGUUAAUGGAGUCAUGUUAGUAACCCUGACCAUAGUGUCUAACUUAAAGUCAGCAAGUUCCGAACAAGUUGAUUUUGCGGUUUAAUUUCAAGAAAUUCUAUUUAUUUAUUUUUUUGAGAAGAUGUUGAGUUUUAAAUUUACAGUGUAUUUCCAGUAAACUUGUUUUUCAGAAGUAUGAGAAAUUUGAUUGAUCUAUUAGGAUAUGAGCCUUUGAAUGCAUUUAUCUUGACUGUGGUUGAAUCCUGGAGGAAUGUUUUUCCUUCAAGAGCUCCAGCAUGUGAACUAUUAAAGCCCAUCUGAUAGCAGCGAGAGCAGCACUUUCAGCUUUCCAAUCAGAUGGCCAGUGCUGCUCUGAAGUGAAGAGGGCCGAGCAUCUUAUCAGCUUUCCCAGGCUGGACACGGCAUCCUCUUGAGAAGACCGCAGUUCUGAAGCACUGAGCUCCUUAUCAAGAAUGGGCUUGUAUAGUGUAGCCAAUAUUAGACUGUCAGUCACCGUCUGGGGUCAUGGACAUUUCUGUUUGAGAAACUGCUCUGUGGCACAUGCUCAUUGUUGAUGACAGUUGAUGCACUCAGCAAAAAAGUUUCCAAGGUUAGAAGGUCUGCUCAUAUCGGAGUGUGCUAUGUGGUUAAUUAACUCUUGAAAUGUGUUGCAAUAUGUCUGAUGGCUUUUUAAAUUUGUGAAAUCUUACAGCGAGCAGGCUGUCAUGCAUAAGGACCAAACAUGGGGCUGGACAAUAAUUCAAUAUCAAUAUAUGUAUAUAUUUUUUUCAGUAACGGUGAUAUGAUUUUUAAACAUUUCCGAUACUUCAAUAUACAUUAGCAGUGUUUCCCGUUCAUUGACUUAUUUGUGGCAGCACACCACAAUAUCAAC